RNAcentral lists this ribosomal RNA (493 nucleotides) under uncultured bacterium. RNAcentral's name for it is "partial 16S ribosomal RNA". It matches the Rfam family "Bacterial small subunit ribosomal RNA", at positions 28 to 507 of the family's 1533-position model. The record is from RNAcentral.
GACGAACGCUGGCGGCGUGCCUAACACAUGCAAGUUGAGCGACGAACCAGGGCUUGCCCUGGGGCAAAGCAGCGAACGGGUGAGUAACACGUGGGUAACCUACCCCGAUAACCGUGACAACCCGAGGAAACUCGGGCUAAUACCGGAUGUGCUCACUGGACUUCGGUUCAGUGCGUAAAGGAAGCUUCGGCCUCCGUAUCGGGAGGGGCCGGCGGCCCAUUAGUUUGUUGGGGAGGUAACGGCUCACCAAGACCGCGAUGGGUAGCUGGUCUGAGAGGACGAUCAGCCACACUGGGACUGAGACACGGCCCAGACUCCUACGGGAGGCAGCAGUGGGGAAUAUUGCGCAAUGCGCGAAAGCGUGACGCAGCAACGCCGCGUGGGGGAAGAAGGCCUUCGGGUUGUAAACCCCUUUCAGGAGGGGAGAAGGUUCGGCGGUGAAUAGCCGUCCGGACUGACGGUACCUAAACAAGAAGCACCGGCUAACUACGUG